CCUACNGGAUGCACCAGUGGGGAAUUUUGGACAAUGGGCGCAAGCCUGAUCCAGCAAUGCCGCGUGAGUGAGGAAGGCCUUCGGGUUGUAAAGCUCUUUUGUCAGGGANGAAACGGUAGAGGCUAAUAUCCUUUGCUAAUGACGGUACCUGAAGAAUAAGCACCGGCUAACUACGUGCCAGCAGCCGCGGUAAUACGUAGGGUGCAAGCGUUAAUCGGAAUUACUGGGCGUAAAGCGUGCGCAGGCGGUUUUGUAAGUCUGUCGUGAAAGCCCCGGGCUCAACCUGGGAAUUGCGAUGGAGACUGCAAGGCUUGAAUCUGGCAGAGGGGGGUAGAAUUCCACGUGUAGCAGUGAAAUGCGUAGAGAUGUGGAGGAACACCGAUGGCGAAGGCAGCCCCCUGGGUCAAGAUUGACGCUCAUGCACGAAAGCGUGGGGAGCAAACAGGAUUAGAUACCCCCGUAGUC
This 465-nucleotide ribosomal RNA is filed under the name uncultured bacterium. RNAcentral describes it as "bacterial SSU rRNA". It matches the Rfam family "Bacterial small subunit ribosomal RNA", at positions 338 to 795 of the family's 1533-position model. The record is from RNAcentral.